GGAAGGGAUGUAUUUAUUAGAUUAAAAACCAAUGCCCUCUGGGCUCUUUGGUGAUUCAUGAUAACUUCUCGAAUCGCACGGCCUUGCGCCGGCGAUGGUUCAUUCAAAUUUCUUCCCUAUCAACUUUCGAUGUUUGGGUAUUGGCCAAACAUGGUUGCAACGGGUAACGGAGGGUUAGGGCUCGACCCCGGAGAAGGAGCCUGAGAAACGGCUACUACAUCCAAGGAAGGCAGCAGGCGCGCAAAUUACCCAAUCCCGACACGGGGAGGUAGUGACAAUAAAUACUGAUACAGGGCUCUUUUGGGUCUUGUAAUUGGAAUGAGUACAAUUUAAAUCCCUUAACGAGGAACAAUUGGAGGGCAAGUCUGGUGCCAGCAGCCGCGGUAAUUCCAGCUCCAAUAGCGUAUAUUAAAGUUGUUGUGGUUAAAAAGCUCGUAGUUGAACCUUGGGCCUGGCUGGCCGGUCCGCCUCACCGCGUGUACUGGUCCGGCCGGGCCUUUCCCUCUGUGGAACCUCAUGCCCUUCACUGGGUGUGACGGGGAACCAGGACUUUUAC
RNAcentral lists this ribosomal RNA (556 nucleotides) under uncultured Ascomycota. Its description in RNAcentral is "SSU rRNA". It matches the Rfam family "Eukaryotic small subunit ribosomal RNA", at positions 194 to 755 of the family's 1831-position model. Lineage: Eukaryota; Fungi; Ascomycota. The record is from RNAcentral.